Molecule: ribosomal RNA, 468 nt
Filed under: uncultured bacterium
Lineage: Bacteria
Description: partial 16S ribosomal RNA
Rfam family: Bacterial small subunit ribosomal RNA
Source: RNAcentral
GACGAACGCUGGCGGCGUGCUUAACACAUGCAAGUCGAACGGAAAGGCCCUGCUUUUGUGGGGUGCUCGAGUGGCGAACGGGUGAGUAACACGUGAGUAACCUGCCCUUGUCUUUGGGAUAACUUCAGGAAACUGGGGCUAAUACCGGAUAGGAGCUCCUGCUGCAUGGUGGGGGUUGGAAAGUUUCGGCGGUUGGGGAUGGACUCGCGGCUUAUCAGCUUGUUGGUGGGGUAGUGGCUUACCAAGGCUUUGACGGGUAGCCGGCCUGAGAGGGUGACCGGCCACAUUGGGACUGAGAUACGGCCCAGACUCCUACGGGAGGCAGCAGUGGGGAAUAUUGCACAAUGGGCGGAAGCCUGAUGCAGCAACGCCGCGUGCGGGAUGACGGCCUUCGGGUUGUAAACCGCUUUCGCCUGUGACGAAGCGUGAGUGACGGUAAUGGGUAAAGAAGCACCGGCUAACUACGUA